This 433-nucleotide ribosomal RNA is filed under the name uncultured bacterium. RNAcentral describes it as "partial 16S ribosomal RNA". It matches the Rfam family "Bacterial small subunit ribosomal RNA", at positions 29 to 507 of the family's 1533-position model. The record is from RNAcentral.
AACGAACGCUGGCGGCAUGCCUAACACAUGCAAGUCGAACGAGACCUUCGGGGCUAGUGGCGCACGGGUGCGUAACGCGUGGGAACCUGCCCUUAGGUUCGGAAUAACUCCCCGAAAGGGGUGCUAAUACCGGAUAAUGUCUUCGGACCAAAGAUUUAUCGCCAUUGGAUGGGCCCGCGUUGGAUUAGCUAGUUGGUAGGGUAAAAGCCUACCAAGGCGACGAUCCAUAGCUGGUCUGAGAGGAUGAUCAGCCACACUGGGACUGAGACACGGCCCAGACUCCUACGGGAGGCAGCAGUGGGGAAUAUUGGACAAUGGGCGAAAGCCUGAUCCAGCAAUGCCGCGUGAAUGAUGAAGGCCUUAGGGUUGUAAAGCUCUUUUACCCGGGAUGAUAAUGACAGUACCGGGAGAAUAAGCUCCGGCUAACUCCGUG